Mauremys reevesii (Reeves's turtle) is the source of this 1100-nucleotide long non-coding RNA. RefSeq lists it as uncharacterized. Lineage: Eukaryota; Metazoa; Chordata; Testudines; Geoemydidae. The record is from RefSeq and is a predicted model, not a curated record. The transcript has 3 exons.
CCUCCCCCGCAACCUCAGCUCGCUGCCGCCCGUGCAAUGCUCUGGGCAGCGGGGCUCUUGCAGAGCUGCAGCCUGUCCUGGUGCUUUGGGCUGUGCAGUGUUAGCGCCGCCAGCCACCGGUGCUCCAGGCAGCGUGAUUGGGAAACUGAGGCACAAAGAAGUGAAUUAUAGCUAGGUGCAAUGCAAUCUUUCCUUCACAACUGUGCCAAAACAUUUCAGUCCUGACUUUAACUGCCCUCCCCAUCUCCAGCUACCCUUCACCAGCAAUGAUGCAGUGUCCUGUACAUGGACGAAGAGCAAGAAGGGCCUAGGGUGAGACCAAGAAACUCAUUUCACUUAUGGCCUGAAAUGCAUUUCUUAACCAGAGGUGAUAGAAGAGGUAGCAAGACUAUCAGAUGCCCCAGAAAACACCAAAGAAUAACAGCCUUCCAGCAUCUCCUCAAGACAACAGCAGAUAGAUGGGACUCAAUGCGUAAUGUGCAGAGGUGUAUGUGCUCAGAAAAGAAAUGGUUUUAUUUAUCCUUAAUGCAAUGGUAAAAAACCCAUAAUGUAUUUGUGUAUUAGAAAAGACAGCUAAUGUCCAUAUACUUAAUUUCAAUAAUGUAAUCACAAUAUAAUUUGUGUUUCAUUUGUACAAGGUGGUAAGGACCAUUUGUUGACAGAGACAUACCUUUAUUCCCCCCCUUCCCGCCCCAUAACAGAUCACAGAACUCUUCAACAUUCCCCCAAAGUAUGCCACAUUGUACAUAGCAGAAUGUGAUCCUGCAAUGAGAGACCGUACAUACUUACCAGGGAGCACAACUAAUGUUGCUGUGGGAGUUUUAUUUCUGAAUUUCCUACGUGUCUUUCAUGUCGAGGGCAGCGAACCAGUAUCCAAAGCCAAAGCCACUCACGCCAGUAUACAUUUCUGGUAUUGUGUGGCUAGAAAUGAUCAGGCAGCUUUGGUUUAAAGCACCAAACUUUAAGAGUUGUAGCAUGCACUCAUUAGUAUUCUUGUCUGUUAGUCCUAAGCCUGGGAGUAUUCAUGUUAAAGUUUAAAAGCCCAUUAAGCUUUUGUCAGAAGUAAAAUAAAUGCAUUGUUAUGACUGUACUCAAGCUAC